This 440-nucleotide ribosomal RNA is filed under the name uncultured bacterium. RNAcentral describes it as "partial 16S ribosomal RNA". It matches the Rfam family "Bacterial small subunit ribosomal RNA", at positions 338 to 795 of the family's 1533-position model. The record is from RNAcentral.
CCUACGGGAGGCAGCAGUGGGGAAUAUUGCACAAUGGGGGGAACCCUGAUGCAGCGACGCCGCGUGAGUGAAGAAGUAUUUCGGUAUGUAAAGCUCUAUCAGCAGGGAAGAAAAUGACGGUACCUGACUAAGAAGCCCCGGCUAACUACGUGCCAGCAGCCGCGGUAAUACGUAGGGGGCAAGCGUUAUCCGGAUUUACUGGGUGUAAAGUGAGCGUAGACGGUUAUGCAAGUCUGAAGUGAAAGCCCAAUGCUCAACCAUGGGACUGCUUUGGAAACUGUAAAAGUGGAGUGCAGGAGAGGUAAGCGGAAUUCCUAGUGUAGGAGUGAAAUGCGUAGAUAUUAGGAGGAACACCAGUGGCGAAGGCGGCUUACUGGACUGUAACUGACGUUGAGGCUCGAAGGCGUGGGGAGCAAACAGGAUUAGAUACCCGGGUAGUC